AGGGAUGUAGUUAAAUAUAAUACUUGAUUUGCAUUCAAGAGGUGUCCUAAAGACCUUCCUUA
Molecule: transfer RNA, 62 nt
Filed under: Daphnia similis
Lineage: Eukaryota; Metazoa; Arthropoda; Branchiopoda; Diplostraca; Daphniidae
Description: tRNA-Ala
Rfam family: tRNA
About the family: Transfer RNA (tRNA) molecules are approximately 80 nucleotides in length.
Source: RNAcentral